GACGAGCGCUGGCGGCGUGCUUAACACAUGCAAGUCGAGCGAUGAAGUUCCUUCGGGAAUGGAUUAGCGGCGGACGGGUGAGUAACACGUGGGUAACCUGCCUCAUAGAGGGGAAUAGCCUUUCGAAAGGAAGAUUAAUACCGCAUAAGAUUGUAGUAUCGCAUGAUACAGCAAUUAAAGGAGUAAUCCGCUAUGAGAUGGACCCGCGUCGCAUUAGCUAGUUGGUGAGGUAACGGCUCACCAAGGCGACGAUGCGUAGCCGACCUGAGAGGGUGAUCGGCCACAUUGGGACUGAGACACGGCCCAGACUCCUACGGGAGGCAGCAGUGGGGAAUAUUGCACAAUGGGGGAAACCCUGAUGCGGCAACGCCGCGUGAGUGAUGACGGUCUUCGGAUUGUAAAACUCUGUCUUCAGGGACGAUAAUGACGGUACCUGAGGAGGAAGCCACGGCUAACUACGUGCCAGCCGCCGCUGUAA
Molecule: ribosomal RNA, 478 nt
Filed under: uncultured bacterium
Lineage: Bacteria
Description: partial 16S ribosomal RNA
Rfam family: Bacterial small subunit ribosomal RNA
Source: RNAcentral